UUAUGUAUUGGUUUUACUGUUGAUACUGUUAUUUUCUCUUUAUAUGGUCAGACUACUUUGUCCCGCACAGUCAUUGCCAAAUUUAACUAUGUUUUCCUAUUCUGCAACUAAAAUGUUCAAUUUUUUGGAAUAAGUGUGGUAUGAGGUCCUGUGGAUUCUCUUCAUAUAAGACUAAAUCUCCCUCUCAGACAAAGUAUUCCCCUAUAAAGUAAAAUCAGAUCUAACCUAGAAGAUUUGUCUUAUAUCCAGAACACUCUUGGGUUGUAUUGAGGCUUGAGCAGUGUUUUUCCUUUAGAGGAUAAACACAGACUCAUUCUUACAUAAAACUGAAGAUAAUUUAAGAAAUAGCAGUUACUCUUUUUUUUAUUACUCAAAUGAAUUUAUCACAUCUGUAGUUGUAUAAUAAUCAUCACGAUCCAAUUUCACAGAAUUUACUCUUGAUUCUGUCUUAUGUUGCAAGGUACAGUAAAGAGGAUAGAAUAAAGCCCAAAGUUUUAACACACUAGUCAAUAAAAUGAUUCUGCUGUCUAGAAUCAGCUAACAAUUGGGAAACCGAAUUUCACAUUUAUCCAUACGGACACCUCAAAUUCAGUAAAUUCUUGAAAAUAAAGAAAAGUUAAUACAAUUGUAUGCUAGUAUUCCUCAAUAUUCCAUAAUCAGUGGCAAUAACUAAGAAACUGAAGAAACAAAAUGCUUCAUGUUUAAUCUGCAUGACUCAGGGGUGGCGACACGGCAAAGAAGUCCACGUGGAUGGAUCAUGUCCUCUAUGCUAAGAGGUAAGGUCUGAACCUUGGCUCUGCUGUUUGUUGGCUCUGUGACCUGGGGGAAGCUACUUAACCUCUCUGAGCAUCAACUUCUUCACUUAUAAACGGAGAGUAGUUGGUCCCACUUUAUGGGUUAAGAGGGACACAGUAGGCGUCUGGUAAAUGUUCUUUCACCUUCCUUCCACGAGAGCCUAAAGUAUUUACGGUGAGCUAAAAUGCACUGAAAAGAACAUAAUCACAAUGGACUGAAAACCCCAUCCGUUCCCAUUCCACCUUUGCCUCCCCCAGUUUCAGCCGCCUUGCUGAUCUCUCCCUUAGCUUUCCGCUGGCUCUUCCUCUUCCAGGAAUGCAUGUCCCCCAGGCACCGCAGACACAGCACCUCCUGCAGGCCUUGGCUAGAACAUCACCAUCUCAAUGAGGUCCACCCUGUGUGAAGCUGUAACCCACGCCCUGCUCCUCCCCACCACACACGCUUGAUCACUAUGACCUACCUCUGUCUUUUUUUUCCAUCUCGUACCACUUAACCACACUCUGACUUCUCUUUUCUUUCUUUCUUCUUUUACUUCCUUCUUUCCUUCUUUUCUCUGCUUACUCUUUAGGGUCAGAACACAGUAAUCAACACUAAUAUGAGUACUAUGAGGGCAGGAUUAUUUGUCUGGUUUAUUGAUGCAAUUCAAGGGCCUAGAAUAGGGUUUCAGUGAAUACUUUCUCUUAUUUUGCAUUUUAUAAGUUUAUAUAAAGCUGUAGCAGACAAAGUUAACACUAGAUCUCUCAUUUUAACUGCUGUAUCUGUAAUGAUUUUUAAUGUUCUCUUAAGCUUUUUAAAGCUUCUGGAAUAAAUUUAGAUUCACUGAGAAGUUACAAAGAGAGUACAGAAAGUUCCCGUAUACCCUUCACCCAGCUUCCCCUAAUGAUAACAUCUUACAUAACCAGAGUACAUUUGUCAAAACUAAGAAAGCAGGGUUCAACCCAUACUCUUUUAAACAAAUGAAUUGUUAUAAAACACCAAUCCAUCUAUGGGGUCAUGGUUAUGUAGUCACGUCAUUAACUCAGAAUAGACAGUGACAAGAACAGAAUGUCCUAUUUUCAUUUCACUUCCUCUCUGUUUUCUUUCAUAUUUUGUCAUCUUGGAAAUCCUUUCUGUGCAAUUAACAUGCAUAUUUAAGGGCUUGGGUUGGUAGAUUUGCAAAAGACUUUCCCACCAGAGACAUCCAGAAGACCCAUGAAAAUCUCUGAUAGGAAAGCCUUGAAAACUCUUGUAAAAAUAUCCUAUGACUAUCUACUAAGUCGCCAACUGAGAAGAAAAGCGCCUUCAUUUCUAAAAUAGCAGGAUAAUGCACACAGAAAACAUAUCACAGUAUCCUUAAUGAGAAGCCUGUUUUGUCUCUAACGUGUAAAUAUUUACUCAGUGCCCUAGGAAAUGGCUCUAGAACGCCAAGGUGUUGACAAAUUGCUAAGGACUGUGCUAAACAUCCUCAUUAGCUUAAGCUUAGAUCAAGUAACUCAUGAAGCACCCUCCAUGCUUCAGAGCUUGUCUGCCGGAGAUCUGCACACACCAGCUAUCACUUGUCCCAGUCCACAGCAAAAGCAGCUGGGAAGAGGCGAAAACGUGAUGGCACCUGAUCUGUGACUAAAUUAAGCGUGAUGGGACAGCUGGGACUUUUGCAACUACAAGACAUUGGGCAUUUGCCAGAGCCGGGACUUCUCUUCUGUGAAGCUCUAAGCAUGUUACUAAUCAUGCCUGGUUGUGGUCUGCCUUACCACUGUCCCUCUACCUAAGUCUCCAUUUUACUUGGCAUGGCCUCUAAUCUUGUUUCAGUUCAACUCCUUUAAUUCACUGAUUCAACAAACAUUUAGACACUAUUUGCCAAAGACAUUUACACGUAUUACUUCACUCAAUUCUCACCACGACACAUUACAAAUUCAUUUGCUAAAUGAAAUUACUAAAGUUCAAAGACCUUAAGGAACUUGUCCACAUAAAUAACUACCAGCAGGUGACACGGUCACACGGUCAGUAUUUAAACCCAGACCCAUGUGAUGCUAUGGUCGCUUUCCUUUCAUGCUAUGAGGCUCUGCUGCAUUCCAAGAAAAAUAAAAAGUAAAAAGGUUUUGUUCUUUUCAAAUGAUUUCAUGAAAUCAAAUAAAUUUAAUAAAUUAAUAUUAACUGGAUAAGAGUAUCUUAUGAUUGCAGGUAAACCAAAAUAUUGGCUUCUUGAUAUCACGAAUUUGUCGUGAUGCCACAACAAGAUGUGUGGGCAGGGAAAGGGAAAGCAAAAUUUGCCUUUUCCUCGGUGGAAGGUGGAGAAUUUGAAUUGCUACCUUACAAAGAAGUUCUCUGUACCCCAGUUGCUUAAGAAACCUCAUGCCCACACCUACCCCUGGUUCUCCCAUCUUAGAGCCUUUGUUCAAGAGCUUUCUCCGCCCUUACAUCCUCCCCACACCCUGGGCUUUGACUUGUGCUCCUCUGAUCUUUAAGACGGUGCUCUUCCUUGAUGGCGUCUACUGUGAUGCCUGCGUGCUCAGUACAUGAUGGAUUGAAAGACUGAGUUUCCCAAGGUGGAUGCCCUAAGAACAGGUCACAUAAACUGUAAAUGGUCCAUAUGUUACCACCAUGUGGGGAUGGUCCAAGGGCUGGUGAGGGGCAGUGUUGGGGGAUAAGGCAGCACAGACUGAAAGCAAAGAUGCAUUUUCCUACUUUCUUGAAUUGUUUUGAAUCAUAGUAAUUAUUUAUUCUGAAUUUCAAAUAUCGAAAAAGGAAGUCAUGAAAUGUAUACUUGCCUUAUUAAACUGGGGCUUGGAAAGUAUCUCAUCUCUCUGUGCCUGUUUUUUUCAUCUGUAUACUGAAUACCAGGAAGAACAAUCUUACCUGUAAGGACAGAUUAAGAGCAGCCUUUAACACACUUAGCUCACUAUCUGGCACACAGUAAUCACUCAAAGGAAAUAUUUAUUUUCAUCGUUAUAUUAUUGUUAUUAUUGCUAUUUUCUAAAUUUGGGCUUCCCUCGGGCCUGUUUUUCAUUUUCACAUAAUGAGUGUAACCUUUGAUAUCCUUUCCAGAUAAUAACGUCUAAGAUUUUAAGCCUCUCAAUAUUCAUCCAUUUCAAGGUAACCUAGCAUUAUAUACAAAUUUUAAUUCCCUUAUGUUUCUUCCACUGUUUUUAUAUUUACAUGAUAAUAUUAUGGGUAUAUUUGUAUGUAUGUGUGUGGUAUGUAACAAAAAUUUCAGUCAAUUAUAAACUUAUUUUUUGCAACUUUCUAAAGCAACAAUUUAAACUUUUGGAAUAUUACAAAUAUUUUGGUUUGGUUUUAAGCCGAUUCUGCAAUAAGUUUGAAAGAAAUUGAAGUAGUUUCAGAAAAAUUUAAAUGAGAUAUGUUUUCAACAAUAGUCAUUGCCUUCCUGAGAUAUUCUUAGGUUCUAACUUAUGAUUCUUUAAAGUAAAUAACACUAAAUAUAUCCCCAAAUCUAGUAUGAUAGGAAAAAGUAAUUUUUGAUAUACCAUCAUUUUUCUCUUAUUCCUAAAAUAAUAUAUUCUUACCUUACCUCUUUUCAAAUAGUUCCUAAAUAACAGUUUGCUUUGGAUGAUUGACUAUAGGAAUUUUGCUUAUAUGAUACCUCGAAAGCAUGGCAUUUUAAAUCACAUACUCCUUUCACUUGUAAUGUUUAAAGCGAAUUUCACAUUGUUAGACAAUUUACCCUUUGGAGAUGGAACAAGACAUUGACAUGGAUUUCAUCUGUACCUCCACAACUGAAAAAAUACAGCCAAGGCUUAUUAAAACCAUGCAGGCUUGGCUACCAUGGCUGAAUAGCAAUGGGAAUGAAUACACAUUCUUGAAUAUAUGUAUUCAAGGGAAUGUGCAUGAAAUCAAGGCCAGGGGUAUGGGAUGGCAUAUGGGCACUGAGCAACCUUCUAUCUGACCUCCAGAGAUCUCUGAGAAUGCACUCCAUGGGCUCCUGGCUAUAGUACAGCAACUCUCUCUCCUGCUUCUACCUCCCUGACUACCUGCCUUCUCAGUCCCCUCCUCUGGCCUCUAACUUCCCCAGAAGCCUGUCAGUGAUCCCUAGGGGCCAAUUCUUAUCCCUUCUCUACCUCUAAGUAUUCCCUGGGCCUGUAUAACCAUUCUCCUGGCUUCGACAGCCAGUUCUAUAGUGGUGGACGCCAAAACGUUGUGUCUUACCUGCACAUCCGUCGUGAGUUUCAGAUCUGUACAGCCAGGGACCACUGGAGGUCACUCUUUAGGUAGCCCACAAGCGAACCAAGCUCCAUCCAUCCAAAACAAGCAGUGUCUUUCCUUUGAAGUCCCGUAUUGGCACCAUGUGUCCCAUCUUGCUAAUCACGCUGGAUUCCUCGCUACUUAGUUUCUUUUUCUUUUUUUUUCAAGUAUCAUCUUUGGAGUUCCGUGUGAGUUCAUCACGGCUCAGUGGCUAAUGAACCCAACUAGUAUCCAUGAGGACGACUCAGGUUCACAUCCCUGGCCCUGAUCAGUGGGUUAAGGAUCCCGCGUUGCCUUGAGCUGUGGUGUAGGUGGCAGAUGGAACUCAGAUCCCAAGUUGCUGUGGCUGGGGCAAAGGCCAGCAGCUACAGCUCCAACUGGACCCUAGCCUGGGAACCUCCAUCUGCUGCAGGUGUGGCCCUAAAAAGAC
RNAcentral lists this long non-coding RNA (5404 nucleotides) under Sus scrofa (pig). Its description in RNAcentral is "lncRNA (ENSSSCG00000054046.1)". Lineage: Eukaryota; Metazoa; Chordata; Mammalia; Artiodactyla; Suidae. The record is from RNAcentral.